UACGUAGGGGGCAAGCGUUGUCCGGAAUCAUUGGGCGUAAAGAGCGUGUAGGCGGCCCGGUAAGUCCGCUGUGAAAGUCCAGGGCUCAACCCUGGGAUGCCGGUGGAUACUGUCGGGCUCGAGUCCGGAAGAGGAGUGUGGAAUUCCUGGUGUAGCGGUGAAAUGCGCAGAUAUCAGGAGGAACACCAAUGGCGAAGGCAGCACUCUGGGACGUGACUGACACUGAGACGCGAAAGCGUGGGGAGCAAACAGG
RNAcentral lists this ribosomal RNA (253 nucleotides) under uncultured bacterium. RNAcentral describes it as "partial 16S ribosomal RNA". It matches the Rfam family "Bacterial small subunit ribosomal RNA", at positions 524 to 776 of the family's 1533-position model. The record is from RNAcentral.